Molecule: long non-coding RNA, 382 nt
Filed under: Bos taurus (domestic cattle)
Lineage: Eukaryota; Metazoa; Chordata; Mammalia; Artiodactyla; Bovidae
Description: long non-coding RNA NONBTAT015486
Source: RNAcentral
CUGCCAUCAUUACUCAGAAAAAGAAUAUAACACAGAGGGCUCCCAUAGAUGUAUCCUGCUUACCUCUGUCUUAGGGAUCACUGCUGUGAUGUUGCAGCUCCUACAGAUAGCCUAAGAAACACAACAGGUGAGCACAGUGGACAAGUGUCAGUCAGGACCCAAGGGGAAAAACUGAAUGAGUAACACUAGUAUGUUAAGAAAACAGAAAAAUAGCUGUUAGAGGCAAACUCUGUUCCCACAAAGAAGCAUUCCUGGCUGGUAUGUAGUGAAAGUUCAGAUGUCAGAGGCUCUGAGACUUAAAAAACUGAACCAGGGAAUGGCUUUCCUUGGCAUUUUGUGAAUGCUGUCACAUCUUCAGUCAUAAAUAAAGAUGUUGUUUUUC